This 796-nucleotide ribosomal RNA is filed under the name uncultured bacterium. RNAcentral describes it as "bacterial SSU rRNA". It matches the Rfam family "Bacterial small subunit ribosomal RNA", at positions 8 to 796 of the family's 1533-position model. The record is from RNAcentral.
AGAGUUUGAUCCUGGCUCAGGAUGAACGCUAGCGACAGGCCUAACACAUGCAAGUCGAGGGGCAUCACAGAGUAGCAAUACUUGGGUGGCGACCGGCGCACGGGUGGGUAACGCGUGUGCAACCUACCUACAACAGGGGGAUAACCCGGAGAAAUUCGGACUAAUACCGCAUAAAACAGGGGUCCCGCAUGGGAAUAUUUGUUAAAGAUUUAUCGGUUGUAGAUGGGCAUGCGUUCCAUUAGUUAGUUGGCGAGGUAACGGCUCACCAAGACGUCGAUGGAUAGGGGAACUGAGAGGUUUGUCCCCCACACUGGAACUGAGACACGGACCAGACUCCUACGGGAGGCAGCAGUGAGGAAUAUUGGUCAAUGGGCGAGAGCCUGAACCAGCCAAGUCGCGUGAAGGAAGACGGCCUUAUGGGUUGUAAACUUCUUUUGCAGGGGAAUAAAAAGUAGGACGCGUCCUAUAUUGCAUGUACCCUGCGAAUAAGCAUCGGCUAACUCCGUGCCAGCAGCCGCGGUAAUACGGAGGAUGCGAGCGUUAUCCGGAUUUAUUGGGUUUAAAGGGUGCGCAGGCGGGCUUUUAAGUCAGCGGUGAAAUCUGGUCGCUUAACGAUCAAACUGCCGUUGAAACUGGGAGUCUUGAGUAUAGAUGAAGUAGGCGGAAUUCGUUGUGUAGCGGUGACAUGCUUAGAUAUAACGAGGAACUCCGAUUGCGUAGGCAGCUUACUAAACUAUAACUGACGCUCAAGCACGAAAGCGUGGGGAUCAAACAGGAUUAGAUACCCUGGUAGUCG